GACGAACGCUGGCGGCGCGCCUAACACAUGCAAGUCGAACGGAGUUCGGAAGAGCUUGCUCUUCUGAACUUAGUGGCGAACGGGUGAGUAACGCGUGAGGAACCUGCCUCAAAGAGGGGGACAACAGUUGGAAACGACUGCUAAUACCGCAUAAGCCCACAGAUCCGCAUGGAUCAGAGGGAAAAGGAGCAAUCCGCUUUGAGAUGGCCUCGCGUCCGAUUAGCUAGUUGGUGAGGUAACGGCCCACCAAGGCGACGAUCGGUAGCCGGACUGAGAGGUUGAACGGCCACAUUGGGACUGAGACACGGCCCAGACUCCUACGGGAGGCAGCAGUGGGGAAUAUUGCACAAUGGGGGAAACCCUGAUGCAGCGACGCCGCGUGGAGGAAGAAGGUCUUCGGAUUGUAAACUCCUGUUGUUGGGGAAAAUCGAGAUGGUACCCAACAAGGAAGUGACGGCUAACUACGUGCCAGCAGCCGCGGUAAAACGUAGGUCACAAGCGUUGUCCGGAAUUACUGGGUGUAAAGGGAGCGCAGGCGGGUAUGCAAGUUGGAAGUGAAAUACAUGGGCUCAACCCAUGAACUGCUUUCAAAACUGCAUAUCUUGAGUAGUGCAGAGGUAGGCGGAAUUCCCGGUGUAGCGGUGGAAUGCGUAGAUAUCGGGAGGAACACCAGUGGCGAAGGCGGCCUACUGGGCACCAACUGACGCUGAGGCUCGAAAGUGUGGGUAGCAAACAGGAUUAGAUACCCUGGUAGUC
This 756-nucleotide ribosomal RNA is filed under the name uncultured bacterium. Its description in RNAcentral is "bacterial SSU rRNA". It matches the Rfam family "Bacterial small subunit ribosomal RNA", at positions 28 to 795 of the family's 1533-position model. The record is from RNAcentral.